GUCAUUAGUUGCCAUCAUUCAGUUGGGCACUCUAAUGAGACUGCCGGUGACAAGCCGGAGGAAGGUGGGGAUGACGUCAAGUCCUCAUGGCCCUUAUGACCAGGGCUUCACACGUCAUACAAUGGUCGGUACAGAGGGUAGCCAAGCCGCGAGGCGGAGCCAAUCUCACAAAACCGAUCGUAGUCCGGAUUGCACUCUGCAACUCGAGUGCAUGAAGUCGGAAUCGCUAGUAAUCGCAGGUCAGCAUACUGCGGUGAAUACGUUCCCGGGUCUUGUACACACCGCCCGUCACACCAUGGGAGUGGGGGAUACCAGAAGUAGGUAGGGUAACCGCAAGGAGUCCGCUUACCACGGUAUGCUUCAUGACUGGGGUGA
RNAcentral lists this ribosomal RNA (375 nucleotides) under Neisseria gonorrhoeae. RNAcentral's name for it is "bacterial SSU rRNA". It matches the Rfam family "Bacterial small subunit ribosomal RNA", at positions 1107 to 1483 of the family's 1533-position model. Lineage: Bacteria; Pseudomonadati; Pseudomonadota; Betaproteobacteria; Neisseriales; Neisseriaceae. The record is from RNAcentral.